RNAcentral lists this ribosomal RNA (275 nucleotides) under uncultured Prosthecobacter sp. Its description in RNAcentral is "partial 16S ribosomal RNA". It matches the Rfam family "Bacterial small subunit ribosomal RNA", at positions 338 to 606 of the family's 1533-position model. Lineage: Bacteria; Pseudomonadati; Verrucomicrobiota; Verrucomicrobiia; Verrucomicrobiales; Verrucomicrobiaceae. The record is from RNAcentral.
CCUACGGGUGGCUGCAGUCGAGAAUCUUUCACAAUGGGGGCAACCCUGAUGGAGCGACGCCGCGUGGAGGAUAAGGUCUUCGGAUUGUAAACUCCUGUCAUGCGCGAACAAGGCUGCAGGGCUAACACCUUUGCAGAUUGAUGGUAGCGCAAGAGGAAGAGACGGCUAACUCUGUGCCAGCAGCCGCGGUAAUACAGAGGUCUCAAGCGUUGUUCGGAAUCACUGGGCGUAAAGGGUGCGUAGGUGGCGUGGUAAGUCAGAUGUGAAAGCCCGGG